GCCAAUCAGAGCGGCCGCAGAAGAGGCGCUGCACGCUGGGAAUUGUAGUCCGGUCCCCUGGGGCGGGUGGUGCGCAGUGAGGUGCCCGGAGGCCGAGGUCCAGCCGGCCCACGCGGGGCAGGGUCCCAGAUGUCGCUCGGGAGCCCCGCAUCCCGCACUGGCGAGGGCAAAGCCUCCACCGGCCGCUUUGUCAUCUGUUUGUCCCCGCCCUUGCCCCGGCCCUUCACGCGAUGCACGUGUGCAGCCCCGAGGCCUGCAGGCCAUGUGGGGUCUCCCUGAGCACGGCUGUGUAAGGUGCUUGAUGGAAGGCCUCGCACAGCUUACUCCAACAAGUCCCCACAACGACGGUCUGAGGACCAGAAAUCCUGUUAUCAGCAGUAGAACGUUUCCUGUGAAAGCAAAGACUUCCUCUUCAAUCUCUGUCUUACAAGGGAACAAGCACUCUCCCCUCCACUCCCACCGUUACACAAGAAUGGAUCUUAGGAAGAAGUGCCCUGUGGCCCACCAUCCUGGUACAUACCAGCUGCCUGUUCUCUCACAUGAUCAGACUGAAGGCCUUUGAAAACAAAUAAGGAUUUGAAUGAUAUGUGACAUGGCCAAAUAUUAUCUUGAAACCAUUCUCAUCAGCAUGGGAUUUUUGAGGUAUUUUCAAGGGAAUGCAUACACAGAUUGAAACAAUGGAGAGGAUAACAAGCCCUGGCCACAGGAGAAGCAGCUUAGUAUGAAGACCCAAGUGCUGAAACAGCAAGAGGUUAACAAUGACAGACAUGCUGCUGAAAACUGGAACUCUCUAAGAGCCCUGAGUUCAGUUUGACUCUGCUUCUCAGGACCUAAGUACAUUCAUCUUCCUUUCCUGCAAGUAAGUGAUGAAGGAUGUAUGGAGAUAUGUAAAGAACCAGACAGUGGCGGAAAUAAGGAACUAAGGAAUCAGGCAAGCAGGAUCAUGGGCUGCAGACACAUUGAGGAGCAGGUGAGAGAGGUACCUGGAGCUGGGGCUGUCCUUGUGUUCCCCGUCAGCCUGGGCAACCCCUGAGAUCCUGGCACCUCUGGUCCUGGGGAGAUGCCAGCCUGCACAGUGCCAUGACAGAUCAACAGCAAAGAGACUGCUCAGAAUUGUACAUGGGGUGACAAAAAACACAGUGGAAUAAGUCAAUGAAGAGUCAGAAGAAUCUGCAAAGGAAAUUGGAGGACAGAUGACGAUUUUGGACACAUCAGUAAUUAGAGACCUUUUUCAACUGCCACAACUCUUCAAAAAUGACAGAGUGACCUUGCCAGCACUUGCUUCUGUAGGACUCUUACGUUCAUUAGUAACAAAGCAAUGAGAAGAAUACCUGUCAGAUUUUGAUUGCCUCUAAACUUCCUAAACACAUGGGAGCAAGUGAAUGUUCUAUCAAUGGUGCUGGUUCCACAACUGUGAUGUAAAUAAAUCCCAGGUGUGAUGUUACAUAUUUGACCACACAGCUGCUAACACUUUCCUGUGAUGUGCAUCUUCAUAUUUGUAGGAGCUUCCUAUCUAUAAGAGGUCCUGUUUUCACAUCAGAACAUGAGAAGAAUAAGGGAGAUACCUGUGCUAUCCUCAUGAAUCCUGGUUAACUCUACAUCUGUCUCAUGAAUUUCAAAGAAGUCCUACAUAAAAUUCUAUACACAAGGUAUUGUGUGAAACCCAAAACAAUACUGGCCUCAACUGCUCAGGACUGGAAGACCAGGAAUGUUAGGAACUGGCUGCAGAAGAAAGUAACCUCUCCAAAUACCUCCAGUAUCAAAAUCUAAAUCAAAGACUGCUUAUAAAUGGGUAAAAAGCCUUCUGAUGGCCUCAGUGGAGAGCUGUAGUGGUCACACUCUGAGAUCACUGAUAGUUUUUUAACAUCUCCUGAAAGGACUCAGAUGUCAGCAAGAUGAGGAAUCAGAGUGGUGCACCACCUGGUAGUCAGUGAAGCAGUGGAAAGACAGGAGCACUGUGAAUCUGCUGCAGACACCACCUGUAGAAGUUAGACACCAAGUGGGGCAGCCUGCAUGCUUAAAUGUGCAUUAUUUAUACAAACUGUGGAGAAAAUACAGCCUUGUUAUUUGCACUGUUCCUUUAAGUAGGGGACAGUCCUCUGUUGUAUAGGUACAUGCUGUACUGUUAGAGCUCUGAUCUAAGAUCGGUGCUACUGAAGAUGUCUUUCCCAAGUCAAACGGUUUUAUAACACACAUUUAGCUACAUUAACAACAUUAAGAUUGCUGUAUUUUCCCAAAUCGUGACAUGAGGAGGAGAAAUUAUCAUAUUUGAAAUGCAAGGAAGGAUUUUAUGAGAAUGCACUGAAAGCUAAAUCAGGACUGCUCCCAGCUGUGUUUCCGGAGGCAUGUUUAUUCCACUACCUUACUGAAUCACCUUGAGCAAGAUAUUUAACCUCUUUCUUUCUACAU
This is a long non-coding RNA of Tympanuchus pallidicinctus (lesser prairie-chicken), 2409 nucleotides long. RefSeq lists it as uncharacterized. NCBI's taxonomy places the organism in Eukaryota, Metazoa, Chordata, Aves, Galliformes, Phasianidae. The transcript has 11 exons. The record is from RefSeq and is a predicted model, not a curated record.